This 1065-nucleotide long non-coding RNA is filed under the name Mustela putorius furo (domestic ferret). RNAcentral describes it as "lncRNA (ENSMPUG00000031215.1)". The record is from RNAcentral. Lineage: Eukaryota; Metazoa; Chordata; Mammalia; Carnivora; Mustelidae.
CCUUUCUCAAAGAUGUGAUCUGAAAAUAUUUUCUCCCAGUCUCUAUCUGAUCUUUUCAUCCCCCUCAUAGGGUUUUUCAUAGAACAAAAGUACUUAAUUUUAAUUAAGUCUAGUUUACUGAUUUUUUUGUUCUUUUAUGGAUCAUGCUUUUGAUAGCACAUCUGAAACAUUUUCACUACUCAUGCCCUAGGUCUCCAAGAUUUUAUCUAAUGUUUUCUCCUACUCCUCUGCCAGCUUGCUCCUUCCUUAAUCUUAUGUUUUCUCCUAAAAGUUGUCAAUCAAAAAAAACCAAAAAACAAACAAACAAAAAAACCCGGAACUAAAACAAAAACAAAAAUCAUUGAUUGGGGGCCUCCGAUGUGUAAUUCAGGAACACAAAAGAUUUAACAACACAACACAAAUAGUGCACCUCCCCUCCCCUCUAGGAACAGAAGUCAAGGGUUUCUAAAAACAAAGGGAAUGCUUGAAUGUUGUUUACAAAGAAUUUUGAUUGGUGUUAGCAACAGAAAAAUAAUCUUGAUUGAAUAUAAUUUGUUGCUAAGACUAUCUUAAUUAAGCCUUUGCUUAACUUCUCUUAACAAGUCAUAGGUGUUCUGGCUGAGUCUUUUGAAAUAUUUGCAGUUUGACCUAGUUCAGAAGUUCAUGGGUCUGUCCAGUGAGGGUGUGCAUAAGGUCCAUCUCCUUAAUGACCUCUUUGUUCCCUUUUAAAUAACCCCAUUUCUAUUUUACCUUUCACCAAGUUGUACAGUUUUAUCUUUUACAUUUGAUUCUGUAAUCCACUUGGAGUUCAUUUGUGAAUUUAGCUCAGCAUACUUUAUUGUUGUUGUUGUUGCUGCUUAUAGAUAUCUAAUCACUCCAGCACCACUGCUGGAAAAAACUAUUCUUCCUCUAUUGAAUUGUUUUUGCUCUGUUGUCCAGAAUCGAUUGAUCAUUCUUGUAUGGACUAUUUCUGGGUCAUCUUUUCUUUUCCAUUGGUCUGUUCCUCGGCCAAUACCAAGCAGUUUUGAUUUCUAUUCCUUGGGAUUUUCUAUGUGGACCAUGAACUGCAAAUGGUUGUAUUUUCCC